This is a long non-coding RNA of Fukomys damarensis (Damara mole-rat), 924 nucleotides long. RefSeq lists it as uncharacterized. The record is from RefSeq and is a predicted model, not a curated record. NCBI's taxonomy places the organism in Eukaryota, Metazoa, Chordata, Mammalia, Rodentia, Bathyergidae. The transcript is spliced from 3 exons.
CAGCAGCCCUCCGACGUCUUUUCCGUGGCCUCUUAGGUUUAGCGCCACCGUGUGUCCGGAGUAAGGAACCGCUAGAAUUUCCCCUUCUCUGCGACGUGACUCGGAACUGAGCUAGAGCAGUCUUAGAACACCUUCGAAUUCUCCCUGAAACAGGGAAUUAAUUAUACACAAAGAACGCAGCAAUGUGUGCUCGCGAUGCCUUCCGCGACGUGACUCAGUGACCGAGUCUGUGGAAUGGUCCAGGAGAAGUGACAUGCUGUCGAACUGACCCACCCAGCUAUCUCUCUCCAUUCAGACUUUAAACAGAGUGUGACUGCAGGUCAGAGGUGCCUGAGAGAAAGGAAGGGAGGAGGAGGGCCGCUCCCUCGCUUUGAACACCAGAGUGUGACUUGUGCAAAGGAACAGGAGCCCAAGGGAGCCUUUUUAUUCCAGCUUUACUGCCCCUCAGGUCAAGAUAAACUGACAGGCUACAUGCUCUACACAGUUCCAUCAGCAGGUGGCGAAUGGACAAGCAGAAGGUGCUGUACACACAAUGGACUAUGAUGCAGAUUUAAGAAGAAAGGAAAUCCUGACGCAUGCGGCAGAUGGAUGCACCUUAAGGACAUUAGCCAGUGAAACAAGCCAGUUCCAAGAAGACAGAGCUGGGUAAUUCCUUUUCAAGUGUGUGAGCUACCUACAGCAGUCAAACACAGGAAGUAGGAAGGCAGCUGUAGGGCUGAGGGCGGUGGGGAACCGGAAGCUCAUUGUUUAGUAGGCACAGAGUUUCAGUCUGGGAAGAUGGAUGAGCGCUGGAGAUAGAGGGUGGUGUGGAUGUACCAUACUGUGAAUGUCCUUCCUGUACUGUCACUGAACUGUGAGCUUAAAAUGGUUAAGAUGGCAGAUUUUAUGUUACAUGUAUUUUUACCACAAAAAGUUAAAUUGAAA